UAUGAUUUUUCAAAAUUGGAUUUUUCCGAUGAAGAAGAUAUUCCUCCACCACCAUUACCCUCUCAGUUCAUAGCACCUGUUCUACCACCAAACUGGAAAGAUGCCAAGGACUCAACGGGCAAAACCUAUAAUUUCAAUGUCUUAACUAGGAAACACUGUGGACUCCUCCAAAAGUUGAUGAUCAGUUCUCUAGACAGGUUAACACAUAUAUGGAUAUUCCUUAUAAUUCUAGCAAUGAUGCAGCUAUUUCAAGAAAAGAAUCCAAAAACACUGAGAGGAGUAGAGACGGUGUACCAGCAAGUGAAACUAUAACCUUAAAAUCUAAAAAUGCCCACUUGUCACCAGCUGCAGGUUCAGAGAAAUUAAUUGCACCUCUAUAUACUGCAACACCUAUUUUUGAUAUUUUAGAG
Long non-coding RNA from Mytilus californianus (California mussel), 410 nucleotides. RefSeq lists it as uncharacterized. The transcript has 3 exons. NCBI's taxonomy places the organism in Eukaryota, Metazoa, Mollusca, Bivalvia, Mytilida, Mytilidae. The record is from RefSeq and is a predicted model, not a curated record.